This 229-nucleotide non-coding RNA is filed under the name Veillonella sp. Its description in RNAcentral is "T-box sequence". It matches the Rfam family "T-box leader". Rfam says of the family: Uncharged tRNA acts as the effector for transcription antitermination of genes in the T-box leader family. T-boxes are found upstream of many aminoacyl-tRNA synthetase genes and some amino acid biosynthetic genes usually in Gram-positive bacteria. The record is from RNAcentral. Lineage: Bacteria; Bacillati; Bacillota; Negativicutes; Veillonellales; Veillonellaceae.
UAAAACGCAAUGAACAAAACAAGUACGUUCAAUGAACCGAACAGAGAGAUAAACCUAGGUUGAGAGUUUAUUACGAUGUAGUUGGACUGAAUGCCUUUGUGAGCGGGAGAACUGAAAUAUCAGUAGGUUUUCACGGUGAACUGCCGUUAUAGUAUUUGAGUGCAACAGCCUAUCCAUCUGUGAGUAUGCUGUUGUAAACAGAGUGGAACCGCGGGCCACCGCCUCUGNN